RNAcentral lists this long non-coding RNA (695 nucleotides) under Sus scrofa (pig). RNAcentral's name for it is "lncRNA (ENSSSCG00005002309.1)". Lineage: Eukaryota; Metazoa; Chordata; Mammalia; Artiodactyla; Suidae. The record is from RNAcentral.
UCCACCGCUGUCCAGCAAAUCCGGUGUUGACUCGGAAGGUCAGUGGAGACGGAGGGAGUUGAGAGAUGUGGGAUCUGCUUUGGAGGCAGAGACAACAGAAUGGGAGAAAGGAAUCCAGGAUGACGCCGACGUCUUGGGGAGGCGCUGCUGAGGAGUGUGAGUGAGGUCCCGCCUGACCCCAGCUAGUGGGCUGCUGCCUUCUUCUGGCUUCCGUCUUAAGGAACAGGAUCCUGGGACGCGUUGUGUGCAGUCUGCUCUGAGACGCUGACCAGCAGGAGCGGCACUCUGACAGGUAAGGGCAUCUCGGCGCUACCUAAAACAGCUAACAAGCCCUAGCUCACCGUCUCAUCAUACUUGGGAACACACUUCUCUACCAGCCUCACUUGUGCAAACAAAAGGCUGGCUGUAAGUUAUCUCUGAGUUCUUUGAUUCAUUCUCUUUCCCCUUCUCUUAGAUUUUCAAUUCUAACUCUAUGACUUCUGACUGAAAUAAUGAAUUGUAACCAGUGACUUUCAUGUCACUGACUGAGCACUAAGUUACUCUUCCUCCUUCAAACAAGAUUCUGGGGGUGGGUUGAUCCAGAACGGUGGCUCUCAACCAGAGGCAAUCCAAACCUGGCCAGUGACGAUCCCCCCUUCUAGGGGACAUGUGAUGUGGCAGCAGGGUAGGAGGAGGGAAAGCUGCUUGUCAUGACU